AUGUAUUGGAAAUCAAAUGGCCCAAAGAC
This 29-nucleotide non-coding RNA is filed under the name Homo sapiens (human). Lineage: Eukaryota; Metazoa; Chordata; Mammalia; Primates; Hominidae. The record is from RNAcentral.